GAUGAUGAGGUCUGAAGGU
This 19-nucleotide unclassified non-coding RNA is filed under the name Chlamydomonas reinhardtii. Its description in RNAcentral is "small RNA Cre_1632". Lineage: Eukaryota; Viridiplantae; Chlorophyta; Chlorophyceae; Chlamydomonadales; Chlamydomonadaceae. The record is from RNAcentral.